UACAGAGGGUGCAAGCGUUAAUCGGAAUUACUGGGCGUAAAGCGUGUGUAGGCGGUUUGUUAAGUCGGAUGUGAAAGCCCUGGGCUCAACCUAGGAAUCGCAUUCGAUACUGGCAGGCUAGAGUACGGUAGAGGGUGGCGGAAUUCCGGGUGUAGCGGUGAAAUGCGUAGAUAUCCGGAGGAACACCGAUGGCGAAGGCAACCACCUGGGCCUGUACUGACGCUGAGACACGAAAGCGUGGGGAGCAAAC
This 250-nucleotide ribosomal RNA is filed under the name uncultured bacterium. Its description in RNAcentral is "partial 16S ribosomal RNA". It matches the Rfam family "Bacterial small subunit ribosomal RNA", at positions 524 to 773 of the family's 1533-position model. The record is from RNAcentral.